CACAAAGUAUGGGGGUGAAAGGGUUUUACAUCUACAGAAAGAAAAGCUAAUUGAGAUUUCUAAAAGAUGUAAAAAUCCUUUCUGGAAGGAUGUUUUACUAUGCUUUUCUAUAGCAAAACCUAUUACUGAGAAUUCUGUCAGUGACAUUUUAUCAUUAGAUAUUUUGAACUUUUCUUCUCUGGAUCAUUUCCCAUAUUAUAUUCAAUGGAAACAAGGAAGUGUGUAGUCAGUAAGUGACCUAAUUAAUAAAGAAAAUAUGAAUUUUUAUAAAUUUGAACAAUUUUAAGAAAGAGUAAAAAUCAACAAUUUUAUCAAAUAUCAUAGUCUGAUUUCAAGAAUCCCUCAGACUAUAAAAAAAUGCCUUAAAGAGAACUGUUUAAAGCAAGAUUUGGAUAAGCCUGAUAAUGGUGAUAUUUUUUUAAAGAGAAUUAUAGGUAAUGUGAAAGCAAAAUUUGUAUAUAAAAAUUUAGUAAAUAAAGUUAUAGAACUACCAACAGUCAAAUUUUCGAAAUGGGAAGAACUGUUGAUUAUUGAUUUAACAGAAUGGUCAGAAUAUUUCAGGAUAACCAAAAAAUCUUGUAGAGAUGUUUAUUUAAGAACCUUUCAAUACAAAUUUCUGCAUAGAAUCAUAGCAACUAAUACCUUUUUAUACAAAAUUAAAUUAAAAGACACCAAGAUGUGUACUUUUUGUGAACUUGGUGAAGAAACCAUUGAACACCUUUUUUUUGAAUGCCCAAUAACUUUUCAAUUGUGGCAAUCUUUUUCAAAUGCAGUAAAUCUUUUUUUGUAAACUUUGUUCUUAACAAAGAGAAUGUGUUUCUUGGUUGCAAACAUGAAAGUUUAUUACUGAAUCUGUUGGUCAUAAUUACAAAGAAUUAUAUAUACAAAUGUAAAUUAAAUGAAACAAAACCAAAUAUGGUUGGGUUAAAGAAUAGAAUAAAGAAAUACCAAUUUCUUGAACAUUAUAUUGCAGAGAAAAAUAACACAGUCCAAGUGUGUGAAAAAUUUUGGUCUCCUUUACAUGUAAUAUUCAAUUAAUUAUUGUUACAUAUAAAUGAGAAAUUCUAUUUUUAUUUUUAUAUAUAUUAUGAGCAAAAAUUUAUCCUUGAGCUUUUGAUUUUUUUUUUGAUUUUUUUUUCUUGUCUUUAAAAUAUAUAUAUAUUAUUUUUUAAAUGUAAGUCAAGAUACAUAUUGUAGCAUAACAAAUGAGUGAAGAGUAUUUGUAAUGUAUGAGAAAAAGUCAGAGAGCGAGAAAAUAUUACCAAAUAAAACUUAUAUGUAACCUUAAAUAUUAUAAUUGUAAAAAUCAAUUUGUCAGUGAUAAAAAUUGUAUACUGAAUUAUUUUCUAUAAUAUGUAACCCCUUGAUACCCUUGUCAGGUGGUAGUGUAGGGGUACAUGUAUAUUAAAUCCUGACUAUUGAAAAACAAAUAAAAGAUAAAAAAAAAAAAGAAAAUA
Molecule: long non-coding RNA, 1457 nt
Filed under: Mytilus galloprovincialis (Mediterranean mussel)
Lineage: Eukaryota; Metazoa; Mollusca; Bivalvia; Mytilida; Mytilidae
Source: RNAcentral